RNAcentral lists this ribosomal RNA (476 nucleotides) under bacterium Fw70-70. RNAcentral describes it as "bacterial SSU rRNA". It matches the Rfam family "Bacterial small subunit ribosomal RNA", at positions 30 to 493 of the family's 1533-position model. The record is from RNAcentral.
AUUGAACGCUGGCGGCAUGCCUUACACAUGCAAGUCGAACGGCAGCAUGGAAGAGCUUGCUCUUCUGAUGGCGAGUGGCGAACGGGUGAGUAAAGCAUCGGAACGUACCGUGUAGUGGGGGAUAACGUAGCGAAAGUUACGCUAAUACCGCAUACGCACUGAGGUGGAAAGCAGGGGAUCGCAAGACCUUGCGCUAUACGAGCGGCCGAUGUCAGAUUAGCUAGUUGGUAGGGUAAAGGCCUACCAAGGCGACGAUCUGUAGCGGGUCUGAGAGGAUGAUCCGCCACACUGGGACUGAGACACGGCCCAGACUCCUACGGGAGGCAGCAGUGGGGAAUUUUGGACAAUGGGGGAAACCCUGAUCCAGCCAUGCCGCGUGAGUGAAGAAGGCCUUCGGGUUGUAAAGCUCUUUCGGCCGGGAAGAAAUCGCACAGGCUAAUACUCUGUGUGGAUGACGGUACCGGCAUAAGAAGCAC